RNAcentral lists this ribosomal RNA (303 nucleotides) under uncultured bacterium. RNAcentral's name for it is "partial 16S ribosomal RNA". It matches the Rfam family "Bacterial small subunit ribosomal RNA", at positions 507 to 807 of the family's 1533-position model. The record is from RNAcentral.
AGCAGUCGCCGCGGGAAUACAGAGGGUGCGAGCGUUAAUCGGAUUUACUGGGCGUAAAGCGUGCGUAGGCGGCUUUUUAAGUCGGAUGUGAAAUCCCUGAGCUUAACUUAGGAAUUGCAUUCGAUACUGGGAAGCUAGAGUAUGGGAGAGGAUGGUAGAAUUCCAGGUGUAGCGGUGAAAUGCGUAGAGAUCUGGAGGAAUACCGAUGGCGAAGGCAGCCAUCUGGCCUAAUACUGACGCUGAGGUACGAAAGCAUGGGGAGCAAACAGGAUUAGAGACCCGUGUAGUCCCUGUCUCUUAUAC